Molecule: long non-coding RNA, 1208 nt
Filed under: Calidris pygmaea (Spoon-billed sandpiper)
Lineage: Eukaryota; Metazoa; Chordata; Aves; Charadriiformes; Scolopacidae
Description: lncRNA (ENSCPGG00000017951.1)
Source: RNAcentral
UGUGCGUGUUGCUGAGACGCCUGCCGGGGCUGGGGAGGGGAAGGGGCAGCCCCCGCUCUCGCCCCACUGGGGGGACGCUGGUGCUGAUCUGCCCCUGCCCCUCCUCGGCAGGGGGAAACCUGGCUGUGCGGGUCCAAAUCCAUCAGGAUUCGGUCAACGGCACCGAGGGACAGUCCGUGCUCCUGAACGUCUCCUACACGUUUGAUGGGGCCUCUCGCUUCCCACUGCUCAUUCGCUGGAUGUUCCAUAACUCCUCAAAUGUGAUCAUCACCUGCAUAGUGCAGACCUGCUCCCUGGAUGCCAGGGGGGCUCCCAGCAACUGCUCUGCAAGAUAUAUCCCCCACUCCAUGAAACGUGGCCGUGCUGAGGUCUUCCCCGAUAACGGGUCCCUGCUGCUGUGGGACCUGAAGCUCAGUGACAGCGGGGUUUACAACGUCGCCUUCAAAGAGCGACCCCAGAGCUGGCCCAUCACCCUGGCCGUGCACAAGCAGCCUUCCUCCUCUGAGCAUCCACAUGAGGGUAAGUGUAAGGUCCAAUGAGGUCUGGGAGGGUCUGGCAGGCGUUGAGGACCCUCAGCUGCUCUGCUCUGCUCAGGGAUGGCGUUGUACGCGCAGGAGAUGUCCUGUGUGUCCCUGGGGGAGGUAAGAACCCCGGGAGAGGCCGAGCAGGAGGGAAGGUGGGGUGUGGAUUGGGGUCUGGGAGCAGGAUUCAUCCCCACGUCAGGCAGUGGCCGAUGCCAGCCCCGGGGCAUCGCAUGGGAGGAAAGCUCCACAGCAAAGUGUGUCCAAGAGCAUGGCCUUCUCUCCUCCCACAGACCUCGAGUUUGGAGCAGGAGGAGGAAGAAUCCCCUGCUACAUCUUCGGAGGCUGCUACUGCUUCAUCCUGCUCGUCCUGCAACUGCUCCUCCACCUCCCAUGGCUCAGGCCCAGCUCCUGGCAGGUGUCAGACACCGAGUCCCACUCAGUCCCGGACACCGAGCGCCGGCAGAGACGGCCGCAGCCCGGAGCAGCUCCGUUGCGGGGGUGAUGCUGCUCCCCGAAGCCUUUGGGCGCUGCUGAAGAGCAGCCGGGGGAUGUGGGGGAGCUGCGGGAGGUGGGACCCCAAGGGGGGGUUCAUUACAGCAAUGUCUGUGCCCGUGAAAUGCACUGAGCUCUUUCCUGAGCCUCCUUUGCCCAGUGUCUCUCACCCUGGUCCUUCCCUGGCUGCUG